AAGUAAAAGUCGUAACAAGGUUUCCGUAGGUGAACCUGCGGAAGGAUCAUUACCGAAUUGUCAACACGAGUUGUUGCUGGUCCUCAGACGAGGGCAUGUGCACGCUCUGUUUACACAUCCACUCACACCUGUGCACCCUCUGUAGUUCUAUGGUCUGAGGGGCUCUGUCCUCUCGCCGUGGCUCUAUGUCUUUACACACGCACUGUAAUAAAGUUUCAUGGAAUGCAUGACGCGUUUAACGCAAUACAAUACAACUUUCAGCAACGGAUCUCUUGGCUCUCGCAUCGAUGAAGAACGCAGCGAAAUGCGAUAAGUAAUGUGAAUUGCAGAAUUCAGUGAAUCAUCGAAUCUUUGAACGCACCUUGCGCCCUUUGGCUAUUCCAGAGGGCAUGCCUGUUUGAGUAUCAUGAACACCUCAACUCUCACGGUUCGCCGUGAUGAGCUUGGACUUUGGAGGUCUUGCCGGCCUGUGGUUGGCUCCUCUCAAAUGAAUCAGCUUGCCAGUGUUUGGUGGCAUCCCAGGUGUGAUAACUAUCUACGCUUGUGGCUUUCCACCAGGUAACCUUCAGCGAUGGAGGUUCGCUGGGGCUCACAAAUGUCUCUCCCAAGUGAGGACGGCUUCUCGAAUGUUUGAUCUCAAAUCAGGUAGGGCUACCCGCUGAACUUAAGCAUAUCAAUAAGCGGAGGAAAAGAAACUAACAAGGAUUCCCCUAGUAACUGCGAGUGAAGCGGGAAGAGCUCAAAUUUAAAAUC
This 753-nucleotide ribosomal RNA is filed under the name uncultured Thelephoraceae. RNAcentral's name for it is "eukaryotic LSU rRNA". The stretch from base 253 to 407 matches the Rfam family "5.8S ribosomal RNA". The record is from RNAcentral. Lineage: Eukaryota; Fungi; Basidiomycota; Agaricomycetes; Thelephorales; Thelephoraceae.